CUGGUCCUGAUUCAAGGCCGGUAGCUUUCUGAUGCUGUUGAUUUCAAGCAGGAGCCUAAAGAGAUGUCUUUCUAUGGUCUGUUGGCCAUUUCAGAACUUGGGCAGUAAAAUGGUCAAUUCAUUAGAAAAAUAGCCCA
Small nucleolar RNA from Cavia aperea (Brazilian guinea pig), 137 nucleotides. Lineage: Eukaryota; Metazoa; Chordata; Mammalia; Rodentia; Caviidae. The record is from Ensembl.